RNAcentral lists this long non-coding RNA (285 nucleotides) under Vigna radiata. Its description in RNAcentral is "long non-coding RNA (VRAD_LNC002105)". Lineage: Eukaryota; Viridiplantae; Streptophyta; Magnoliopsida; Fabales; Fabaceae. The record is from RNAcentral.
AAGCAAAGUCUUUGGCUUGAUCAGUUCCUAACAACCCCACGAUUCGUUGUAGCUCCAGAUCAGUUUCUUGUUCUGACUUCACUUGCUCCAAGAAACUACUUCUAAUUGUCAGAUGACUACACCACAUGUGAUCCUUACCCAACUGAACACCGAGAUUCAUGUCCCUCAACUUCUCUAUCAACUCUAACUCUUUGAUCAUCAGAGCUGACAUCUGAACCCGCUUUCUACUUAAAGCAUCCGCCACGACAUUCGCCUUCCCCGGAUGAUAAAGCAACUCAAAGUCGU